GAUGAACGCUGGCGGCGUGCCUAAUACAUGCAAGUCGAGCGAACAGACGAGGAGCUUGCUCCUCUGACGUUAGCGGCGGACGGGUGAGUAACACGUGGAUAACCUACCUAUAAGACUGGGAUAACUUCGGGAAACCGGAGCUAAUACCGGAUAAUAUAUUGAACCGCAUGGUUCAAUAGUGAAAGACGGUUUUGCUGUCACUUAUAGAUGGAUCCGCGCCGCAUUAGCUAGUUGGUAAGGUAACGGCUUACCAAGGCAACGAUGCGUAGCCGACCUGAGAGGGUGAUCGGCCACACUAGAACUGAGACACGGUCCAGACUCCUACGGGAGGCAGCAGUAGGGAAUCUUCCGCAAUGGGCGAAAGCCUGACGGAGCAACGCCGCGUGAGUGAUGAAGGUCUUCGGAUCGUAAAACUCUGUUAUUAGGGAAGCACAAAUGUGUAAGUAACUAUGCACGUCUUGACGGUACCUAAUCAGAAAGCCACGGCUAACUACGUG
This 497-nucleotide ribosomal RNA is filed under the name uncultured bacterium. RNAcentral describes it as "partial 16S ribosomal RNA". It matches the Rfam family "Bacterial small subunit ribosomal RNA", at positions 28 to 507 of the family's 1533-position model. The record is from RNAcentral.